GUGAGGAAUAUUGGUCAAUGGGCGGGAGCCUGAACCAGCCAAGUCGCGUGAAGGAAGAAGGAUCUAUGGUUCGUAAACUUCUUUUGCAGGGGAAUAAAGUGCAGGACGUGUCCUGUUUUGUAUGUACCCUGAGAAUAAGGAUCGGCUAACUCCGUGCCAGCAGCCGCGGUAAUACGGAGGAUCCGAGCGUUAUCCGGAUUUAUUGGGUUUAAAGGGUGCGUAGGUGGUUUGAUAAGUCAGCGGUGAAAGUUUGCAGAUUAAGUGUAAAAAUGCCGUUGAAACUGUCGGACUUGAGUGUAAAUGAGGUAGGCGGAAUGCGUGGUGUAGCGGUGAAAUGCAUAGAUAUCACGCAGAACUCCGAUUGCGAAGGCAGCUUACUAAGCUACAACUGACACUGAAGCACGAAAGCGUGGGGAUCAAACAGGAUUAGAAACCCGGGUAGUCC
RNAcentral lists this ribosomal RNA (445 nucleotides) under uncultured bacterium. RNAcentral describes it as "partial 16S ribosomal RNA". It matches the Rfam family "Bacterial small subunit ribosomal RNA", at positions 354 to 796 of the family's 1533-position model. The record is from RNAcentral.